AGGGAAUUUUGCGCAAUGGGCGAAAGCCUGACGCAGCAACGCCGCGUGAGGGAAGAAGACCUUCGGGUUGUAAACCUCUUUUGUCAGGGAAGAAAAAUGACGGUACCUGACGAAUAAGUCACGGCUAACUACGUGCCAGCAGCCGCGGUAAUACGUAGGUGGCAAGCGUUAUCCGGAUUCAUUGGGCGUAAAGCGCGCGUAGGUGGUCCUUCAAGUCAGAUGUGAAAUCUCCCGGCUUAACUGGGAGCGGUCAUCUGAUACUGCUGGACUUGAGGAUGGUAGAGGGAGGUGGAAUUCCCGGUGUAGUGGUGAAAUGCGUAGAUAUCGGGAGGAACACCAGUGGCGAAAGCGGCCUCCUAGGCCAUACCUGACACUGAGGCGCGAAAGCGUGGGGAGCGAAC
RNAcentral lists this ribosomal RNA (401 nucleotides) under uncultured bacterium. RNAcentral's name for it is "bacterial SSU rRNA". It matches the Rfam family "Bacterial small subunit ribosomal RNA", at positions 356 to 773 of the family's 1533-position model. The record is from RNAcentral.